UACAGAGGGUGCAAACGUUGUUCGGAAUUACUGGGCGUAAAGCGCGUGUAGGCGGCUCGGAAAGUCGGAUGUGAAAGCCCUGGGCUUAACCUAGGAAGUGCAUUCGAAACUCCCGAGCUUGAGUUCUGGAGGGGAAGGCGGAAUUCUCGGUGUAGAGGUGAAAUUCGUAGAUAUCGAGAGGAACACCGGUGGCGAAGGCGGCCUUCUGGACAGUGACUGACGCUGAGACGCGAAAGCGUGGGGAGCAAACAGG
This 253-nucleotide ribosomal RNA is filed under the name uncultured bacterium. Its description in RNAcentral is "partial 16S ribosomal RNA". It matches the Rfam family "Bacterial small subunit ribosomal RNA", at positions 524 to 776 of the family's 1533-position model. The record is from RNAcentral.